This 791-nucleotide long non-coding RNA is filed under the name Crocodylus porosus (Australian saltwater crocodile). Its description in RNAcentral is "lncRNA (ENSCPRG00005004398.1)". Lineage: Eukaryota; Metazoa; Chordata; Crocodylia; Crocodylidae. The record is from RNAcentral.
GCCCUUCGCCAAGCCCCCGAAUAAACUUUUUUUAAAAAAAAAAAAAAAAAAAAAAGCAAAAGAGAGUCGGGUCCCGGUGGUUUUGCACAGCAUCCCCGUGGCUGAGGCAGUGCCACCCAACGUGGCAUCUUCCUCCUCCCCCCGCCCCCACGCACGGGAGGUUUCCCCCGCAAUAAACUUUCAGCAGCGUGUGUCCCCUGUGUGCGGAGCCCUGGGGACGGCUCUUUCCUUGACCUCCCCCCUCCCCGCGUGGCUCCAGCGGGGUAUUGCUGUGCAGCCCUUGGGGAUGGGCUGUGGGGGUGGGGGGUGUGCACACUGCAAAUAAAAGUCAGUCUCUGUGGACCAGGAGGAGGUUAAUUUUAAAACUCCAGCGCCUACUAGCCGCAAAGAACUAUCAAAGCAAAGACACAAUAGCAGCUGAGGAUGAAAAAGACAAGCAUAUUGAUUGCAGGCAACUUGUUCGGCAUUGUUUUUAUGGUGACUAGAAAAGGACAAUGUUCUUGAGAGGAUUUUUUUGCCUAUACGAAUGUAGAAGAGUUUCUCUUAAAGCUCAACUAUUAAAAAAAGGUACAAAGGAAAAUACUAAAUACUAUGCAGCAAACACAAAAGAAACAAUUUUACAAGUGAGCAUAACUUAUUUUCUUAACCAUAUGAUUAUGCCCUUUUUAAAACAAACCAAAAUUUAUGACAUAAAAAUUUCUGAGCUCAGAUUUAGAAUGUUGUAAUUAAAUCAGAUAGGUCAGAGGAUAGCUUUCCUUAAGUGUUUUAAAAGUUCUUGACUAAAUGUCAAA